AUGCCUGUACCAUAACCGACACAGGUGGGUAGGUAGAGUAUACUAAGGGGCGCGAGAUAACUCUCUCUAAGGAACUCGGCAAAAUGACUCCGUAACUUCGGGAGAAGGAGUGCCUUAUUUAUAAGGUUGCAAUAACAAGAUCCAAGCAACUGUUUAUCAAAAACACAGGUCUCCGCUAAGUCGUAAGACGAUGUAUGGGGGCUGACGCCUGCCCAGUGCCAGAAGGUUAAAGAAGUUGGUUAGUGUAUGCGAAGCUGAUGACUGAAGCCCUGGUGAACGGCGGCCGUAACUAUAACGGUCCUAAGGUAGCGAAAUUCCUUGUCGGGUAAGUUCCGACCCGCACGAAAGGCGUAAUGAUUUGGAUACUGUCUCGGAGAGAGGCUCGGUGAAAUAGACUUGUCUGUGAAGAUGCGGACUACCUGCACCAGGACAGAAAGACCCUAUGAAGCUUUACUGUAACUUGAAAUUGGAAUUGGACUUUGCUUGCGCAGUAUAGGUGGGAAGCGUUGAAGAUAUUCUUGCGGGAGUAUUGGAGCUAUCAGUGAGAUACCACUCUUGUAAUGUUAGAUUUCUAACUUUGAACCAUAAUCUGGUCAAAGAACAGUUUCAGGUGGGCAGUUUGACUGGGGCGGUCGCCUCCCAAAUGGUAACGGAGGCGUACAAAGGUUUCCUCUGAACGGAUAGAAAUCGUAUCUAGAGUGUAAAGGCAUAAGGAAGCUUGACUGUGAGACCUACAAGUCGAGCAGGGACGAAAGUCGGUCUUAGUGAUCUGACGGUACUGAGUGGAAAGGCCGUCACUCAACGGAUAAAAGUUACUCUAGGAUAACAGGCUGAUCUCCCCCAAGAGUUCACAUCGACGGGGAGGUUUGGCACCUCGAUGUCGGCUCAUCGCAUCCUGGGGCGGUAGUACGUCCCAAGGGUUGGGCUGUUCGCCCAUGAAAGCGGUACGCGAGCUGGGUUCAGAACGUCGUGAGACAGUUCGGUCCAUAUCCGGUGUAGGCGUUAGAAUAUUGAGAGGAGCCUUCUUUAGUACGAGAGGACCGAGAAGGACACACCGCUGGUGUACCAGUUAUCGUGCCAACGGUAAACGCUGGGUAGCUAUGUGUGGAGUGGAUAACCGCUGAAAGCAUCUAAGUGGGAAGCCCACCUCAAGAUGAUUGCUCUCACAGGGUUAACCUGGUAAGGUCACGGGAAGACCACCCGUUGAUAGGCACUCGGUGGAAGUCCAGCAAUGGAUGAAGCC
This 1243-nucleotide ribosomal RNA is filed under the name metagenome. RNAcentral's name for it is "bacterial LSU rRNA". It matches the Rfam family "Bacterial large subunit ribosomal RNA", at positions 1638 to 2892 of the family's 2925-position model. The record is from RNAcentral.